Molecule: ribosomal RNA, 475 nt
Filed under: uncultured bacterium
Lineage: Bacteria
Description: bacterial SSU rRNA
Rfam family: Bacterial small subunit ribosomal RNA
Source: RNAcentral
ACUCCUACGGGAGGCAGCAGUGGGGAAUAUUGCACAAUGGGGGAAACCCUGAUGCAGCCAUGCCGCGUGUGUGAAGAAGGCCUUCGGGUUGUAAAGCACUUUCAGUAGGGAGGAAGGUAGUGUAGUUAACACCUGCAUUAUUUGACGUUACCUACAGAAGAAGCACCGGCUAACUCCGUGCCAGCAGCCGCGGUAAUACGGAGGGUGCGAGCGUUAAUCGGAAUUACUGGGCGUAAAGCGCAUGCAGGCGGCCUGUUAAGUCAGAUGUGAAAGCCCGGGGCUUAACCUCGGAAUUGCAUUUGAAACUGGCAGGCUAGAGUCUUGUAGAGGGGGGUAGAAUUUCAGGUGUAGCGGUGAAAUGCGUAGAGAUCUGAAGGAAUACCAGUGGCGAAGGCGGCCCCCUGGACAAAGACUGACGCUCAGAUGCGAAAGCGUGGGGAGCAAAACAGGAUUAGAUACCCUAGGUAGCACAGAG